UAGCACCUGCGGUAUUCGUGAUAUUAUUUAAUUUCAGAACCACUUAGAAUUAGGAAGUCAAGCCAUUUGCAGCGCAAAAGCCGGACAUGAUCCGGAUCUGUAAAGCAGACAAGGUAGGCGUCCACCUUGAAUCUUGGUUCAAGAAAACGAUAAUACACGGUACCGCGGGUUAAUA
Molecule: non-coding RNA, 175 nt
Filed under: Candidatus Cloacimonadota bacterium
Lineage: Bacteria; Pseudomonadati; Candidatus Cloacimonadota
Description: 6S RNA
Rfam family: 6S / SsrS RNA
About the family: E. coli 6S RNA was the first non coding RNA to be sequenced, but its function was unknown until recently. It consists of 184 nucleotides that fold into an extended hairpin structure with a large single-stranded internal bulge.
Source: RNAcentral